Long non-coding RNA from Xenopus laevis (African clawed frog), 311 nucleotides. RefSeq lists it as uncharacterized. Lineage: Eukaryota; Metazoa; Chordata; Amphibia; Anura; Pipidae. The transcript has 3 exons. The record is from RefSeq and is a predicted model, not a curated record.
GCCCAGGAGACUUGCACUGUUUAUCAGCUUAAUCAACAUGACUGACAGGAAACCUGAUAAAAGAGAGUGAUUCUCGGCUGGUGGGACUGCGGUCUUUUGAAAUAAUUUUACUGCUCCAAUCCUGGGAUUUGCUGGUGUAUUGACAACUGUAGGUACCCAGCACUCCAGAUGUUGAGCAUAAAUAUGAGCUGUUAUCUGGCUACCUUCCUAUUGCUCUGCUGAUGGUCUGCUGGGGGAUGUUAUCACUACAACAUGCAGUGCAGAAGUAAAGAGUGACUGAAGCUCAUCACAUGACUGGGGAACCUGGGAAA